Non-coding RNA from Triticum urartu, 135 nucleotides. NCBI's taxonomy places the organism in Eukaryota, Viridiplantae, Streptophyta, Magnoliopsida, Poales, Poaceae. The record is from Rfam.
UAAGUACUCCCUCCGUCCGAAAAUACUUGUCAUCAAAAUGGAUAAAAAAAGAUGUAUCUAGAACUAAAAUACAUCUAGAUACAUCCCCUUUUAUCCAUUUUGAUGACAGGUAUUUCCGGAUGGAGGGGGUAUUUG